AGUGAACGCUGGCGGCAGGCCUAAUACAUGCAAGUCGAACGGCAGCACAGUGGAGCUUGCUCCAUGGGUGGCGAGUGGCGGACGGGUGAGGAAUACAUGGGAAUCUGCCCAGUCGUGGGGGAUAACGUAGGGAAACUUACGCUAAUACCGCAUGCGCCCUUCGGGGGAAAGCCGGGGACCGUAAGGCCUGGCGCGAUUGGAUGAGCCCAUGUCGGAUUAGCUAGUUGGCGGGGUAACGGCCCACCAAGGCGACGAUCCGUAGCUGGUCUGAGAGGAUGAUCAGCCACACUGGAACUGAGACACGGUCCAGACUCCUACGGGAGGCAGCAGUAGGGAAUAUUGGACAAUGGGCGCAAGCCUGAUCCAGCCAUGCCGCGUGAGUGAAGAAGGCCCUCGGGUUGUAAAGCUCUUUUGUCCGGAAAGAAAGCACUGGGUUAAUACCCCGGUGUCCUGACGGUACCGGAAGAAUAAGC
RNAcentral lists this ribosomal RNA (473 nucleotides) under uncultured bacterium. RNAcentral's name for it is "bacterial SSU rRNA". It matches the Rfam family "Bacterial small subunit ribosomal RNA", at positions 29 to 491 of the family's 1533-position model. The record is from RNAcentral.